Non-coding RNA from Hordeum vulgare subsp. vulgare (domesticated barley), 120 nucleotides. The record is from Rfam. Lineage: Eukaryota; Viridiplantae; Streptophyta; Magnoliopsida; Poales; Poaceae.
UUUAUACUCCCUCCGUCCCAAAAUAAGUGACUCAAAAAUGACUCACUUUUGUACUAACUUUAGUACGUACAAAAUAGAGUCACUUUUGAGUCACUUAUUUUGGGACGGAGGGAGUACAUC